RNAcentral lists this ribosomal RNA (502 nucleotides) under uncultured bacterium. Its description in RNAcentral is "partial 16S ribosomal RNA". It matches the Rfam family "Bacterial small subunit ribosomal RNA", at positions 30 to 523 of the family's 1533-position model. The record is from RNAcentral.
AUUGAACGCUGGCGGAAUGCUUUACACAUGCAAGUCGAACGGCAGCACGGGUGCUUGCACCUGGUGGCGAGUGGCGAACGGGUGAGUAAUAUAUCGGAACGUAUCCAAUAAUGGGGGAUAACUAGCCGAAAGGUUAGCUAAUACCGCAUACGCCCUGAGGGGGAAAGCUGGGGAUCGUAAGACCUAGCGUUGGUGGCGCGGCCGAUAUCUGAUUAGCUAGUUGGUGGGGUAAGAGCCUACCAAGGCGACGAUCAGUAGCUGGUCUGAGAGGACGACCAGCCACACUGGAACUGAGACACGGUCCAGACUCCUACGGGAGGCAGCAGUGGGGAAUUUUGGACAAUGGGGGCAACCCUGAUCCAGCCAUUCCGCGUGAGUGAAGAAGGCCUUCGGGUUGUAAAGCUCUUUCGCAAGGGAAGAAAACUCGAUCUCUAAUAUAGGUUGAGGCUGACGGUACCUUGAUAAGAAGCACCGGCUAACUACGUGCCAGCAGCCGCCGUAA